AUCUAGCUGACGAGUCCCGAAUAGGAUGAAACGUGCGUCUUGGAU
RNAcentral lists this non-coding RNA (45 nucleotides) under Schistosoma curassoni. Lineage: Eukaryota; Metazoa; Platyhelminthes; Trematoda; Strigeidida; Schistosomatidae. The record is from RNAcentral.